CAGUAGCGCGGUAAUACGAAGGGGGCUAGCGUUGCUCGGAAUUACUGGGCGUAAAGGGAGCGUAGGCGGAUCGUUAAGUUGGGGGUGAAAGCCCGGGGCUCAACCUCGGAACUGCCUUCAAUACUGGCGAUCUUGAGUAUGAGAGAGGUGUGUGGAACUCCGAGUGUAGAGGUGAAAUUCGUAGAUAUUCGGAAGAACACCAGUGGCGAAGGCGACACACUGGCUCAUUACUGACGCUGAGGCUCGAAAGCGUGGGGAGCAAACAGGAUUAGAUACCCGAGUAGUCCCUGUCUCUUAUACA
RNAcentral lists this ribosomal RNA (301 nucleotides) under uncultured bacterium. RNAcentral's name for it is "partial 16S ribosomal RNA". It matches the Rfam family "Bacterial small subunit ribosomal RNA", at positions 509 to 808 of the family's 1533-position model. The record is from RNAcentral.